Molecule: long non-coding RNA, 817 nt
Filed under: Marmota monax (woodchuck)
Lineage: Eukaryota; Metazoa; Chordata; Mammalia; Rodentia; Sciuridae
Source: RNAcentral
GGUCUCACCUAGUUGUCCAUUUAGCUAUCUGUAAGGAUGGCUUUAGGUCUUAGCCUAAGCAACUCCAUUUUAAAACUCUAUCUUAAAAUAAACCUGCAGUCUCACCAGGCAAGUCAGCAGAGCCCUCCGAUAUGUCAGUCAGGCAUAGCCUGAUAAAAGCAAGUCACUUUCUACAACCCUAACAAGAGUCUGGGUGAAGUCACAUGUCAUUUGUCAUAACCCUGAUAACAGCCAGAAGGGUACACUAAGGUAGAAACCACCAGACCAUAUGUCCUCUCUAAGAUGUAAGAUGUCACUAAGAAACUUGGUAACAGCUGAAAGGGACCCAAAGGGUGAGCAGAAGCUCCCAAAAUUUAGUAUAAAUAAUGGAACAAAUGACAGACAUUCAGCCAGCCAACACUGAUGUGCACAUGGCUGGAGAGCCUGAUGAGGACCUGGACUGACAAUCCAACUCUUCUCAUCAUCCACCCGAUCCUAUGCUUUGUCCUCACCGCUUUCAAACUCUACAGCACCAUCUUGACCCUGGUGAGAAAGGUGACUCCUCCUUAUGACCCUCCUCUCAGCCAGCCAUCACUCCACACCAGGAGAAGCCUCUGCUGGUUCAUGACCUGAUUGCUACAGUCUGAGUGAAUGUGCAUCUUCUGGACUUAAGGCCUAAGACUGGAGACUUUAAAUCUAGCACUUAAGCUUAGCAUGCAGAGAGAAUGUCUGGAAUAGAUCUGUCAUGAUUAGGAGUGUUUGCAGUGCUUAGAGAUAACUUAGAAUUUGUUUGCUUCGAAUUAGUUGUGUUUAUUGCUUUUGUCAGCCUGAAUUAUUG